ACAAGCGGUGGAGCAUGUGGUUUAAUUCGAUGCAACGCGAAGACCUUACCUGGGCUUGACAUCCCGGGAAUCCCUUGGAAACAAGGGAGUGCCCUUCGGGGAACCUGGAGACAGGUGCUGCAUGGCUGUCGUCAGCUUGUGUCGUGAGGAUGUAGGGUUAAGUCCCGCAACGAGCGCAACCCUUGUCUUUAAUUGCCAUCAUUGAGUUGGGCACUUUAAAGAGACUGCCGGUGUUAAAACCGGAGGAAGGUGGGGAUGACGUCAAGUCCUCAUGGCCUUUAUGCCCAGGGCUACACACGUGCUACAAUGGGUGGUACAAAGAGCAGCCAGCUCGCGAGAGUGAGCAAAUCUCAAAAAGCCAUCCUCAGUUCGGAUUGAAGUCUGCAACUCGACUUCAUGAAGUUGGAAUCGCUAGUAAUCGCGGAUCAGCAUGCCGCGGUGAACACGUUCCCGGGCCUU
RNAcentral lists this ribosomal RNA (459 nucleotides) under uncultured Syntrophus sp. RNAcentral describes it as "bacterial SSU rRNA". It matches the Rfam family "Bacterial small subunit ribosomal RNA", at positions 925 to 1382 of the family's 1533-position model. The record is from RNAcentral. Lineage: Bacteria; Pseudomonadati; Thermodesulfobacteriota; Syntrophia; Syntrophales; Syntrophaceae.